AUGUUCGUUUUGGCAGCACGUUUCCUGAAUCUGGGAUGACACAGAAAAGGGUCGCAUGGUCCCUGGACAAGGAUGACAUGCAAAUUAGUGAUGUAUUCAUGGGUUUU
Echinops telfairi (small Madagascar hedgehog) is the source of this 107-nucleotide small nuclear RNA. The record is from Ensembl. NCBI's taxonomy places the organism in Eukaryota, Metazoa, Chordata, Mammalia, Afrosoricida, Tenrecidae.